ACUCAAAUGAAUUGACGGGGGCCCGCACAAGCAGUGGAGUAUGUGGUUUAAUUCGAAGCAACGCGAAGAACCUUACCAGGGCUUGACAUGCAGAUGAAAGUAGUAGAGAUACUACCCUCCUUCGGGACAUCUGUGCAGGUGGUGCACGGUUGUCGUCAGCUCGUGUCGUGAGAUGUUUGGUUAAGUCCAUCAACGAGCGCAACCCCUAUUGUUAGUUGCCAUCGGGUAAUGCCGGGAACUCUAACAAGACUGCCGUGGAGAACACGGAGGAAGGUGGGGAUGACGUCAAAUCAUCAUGCCCUUUAUGUCCUGGGCUACACACGUACUACAAUGGCCGUAACAGAGGGAAGCGAAACAGUGAUGUGGAGCAAAACCCAAAAAGCGGUCUCAGUUCGGAUUGAAGGCUGAAAUUCGCCUUCAUGAAGCCGGAAUUGCUAGUAAUUGCAGGUCAGCAUACUGCAGUGAAUACGUUCCCGGGCCUUGCACACACCGCCCGU
Molecule: ribosomal RNA, 497 nt
Filed under: uncultured bacterium
Lineage: Bacteria
Description: bacterial SSU rRNA
Rfam family: Bacterial small subunit ribosomal RNA
Source: RNAcentral